Bubalus bubalis (water buffalo) is the source of this 3252-nucleotide long non-coding RNA. RefSeq annotates it as solute carrier family 25 member 53. The transcript is spliced from 5 exons. The record is from RefSeq and is a predicted model, not a curated record. NCBI's taxonomy places the organism in Eukaryota, Metazoa, Chordata, Mammalia, Artiodactyla, Bovidae.
GAGCAGAGGAGGCGGAAGUUUGUAACACUUGUUUUGGGCUGAAGGUGUAGGCACGUCCUGGCCUCCAGUCGCGCUGGAACAGGGGAACCGAAGUGAAAGGGGGUGAGGAGUCGGGGGAACUGACAGCCUGACGGACCUGGCGGCGAGAAGUGAUGACAAGGAUGUCGGAAGAGGGGCUAUGAGCAAUCAUUUAAGAACUUUCAUCACCCUGUUAGAGAGACCACAUGGAGAGAUUGUGAGACAACAUGGACAGAGCAUGAAGCCUAGCUGCACCCAGCGUUCCAGAAAUCUCUACCAAGGCACCAGCCAUAAAGGAAACCAUCCUGGCUCCACCAGAUCAACUUAGCCACCAGCUGGACAUCACUAGGUGACUCCAGUAGAUGCCAUAUGGAUCGGGAAAACUGUCCAGAUACACACACUGCAUCCUGCUAGGCUCCGUUGUCCAUUGGAUUCUCCAGGCAAGAAUACUAGAGUGGAUUGCCAUGCCCUCCUCCAAGUAUGUGUCUCCAGCACAGUGAUGCUUCAAGUGUGGUCUGAGGACCCUGGAGACACCUGACACCUGAAAUCCAUUCAAAGUGCCUGGGAACGCCUCCUUUUUCCAACUACAUAUCUCCAUAAGGUUAAAUUUUCUUCAUAUAUGUCAACCAAAAUAACCACAAUGAUACCACAGUGAUGAAGCAAUUUCUUCCAUCUGCACCCAGGUAUCUUCAGCAUGGGGGAACAAAACCACUCUCCCAGGAAGGAGCUUCAGCACUGGACACAAAAAGAGCCUCCAGGAAAGAGAAGCUGGCACUCCCAUGCCUACGCCCUUGGUGCCAUUUCCAACUUUAUGUCCACUUUUCUGACCUUUCCUAUCUAUAAGGUUGUGUUCCGGCAACAGAUCCAUGCUGUGGCGGUGUCAGAGGCUGUGCGGCAGCUUUGGCAUGAAGGCCCUCAAUACUUCUACCGGGGAAUCUACCCGCCUCUUCUCUCCAAGACAUUGCAAGGGACUCUGCUGUUUGGGACAUACGAUAGCAUGCUGUGUUGUCUCUCCCCUGUUGGGCCACACUCCCUGGGGAACCGCUGGGCUGCGGGGCUUAUGUCUGGUGUGGUGGAGGCUGUGGCACUUAGCCCCUUUGAGAGGGUGCAAAAUGUGCUCCAGGAUGGUCGCAAGCAAGCUCGCUUUCCCAGCACCAUCAGCAUUCUCAAGGAAUUUCACUCUUAUGGGCUUUGGGGCCGGCUGUCACAGGGUUACUAUCGCGGUUUCUGGCCUAUCCUUCUCAGGAACAGCCUGGGGAGUGCUCUGUAUUUCUCCUUCAAGGAUCCCAUCCAGAAUAGCUUGGCAGAGCAAGGCCUGCCCCACUGGGUUCCUGCCUUGGUGUCUGGGAGUGUCAAUGGAACAAUCACCUGCCUAGUUCUGUAUCCUCUGAUUGUGCUGGUUGCCAAUAUGCAGUCCCACAUUGGCUGGCAGAGCAUGCCAAGCUUAUGGGCCUCUAUCCAGGAUGUGUGGGACACUCGGGGCCGAAAGGUAUUUCUGAUCUACCGGGGAGGUUCCCUGGUCAUCCUAAGGUCCAGUGUAACCUGGGGCCUUACUACUGCUAUCCAUGACUUCCUGCAGAGGAGGUAUCAUUCCAGGAAAGAGCCGAAAGACUGACUGGCUGCAGGCAGUGUAGUGUGGCCAUGGCAACUUGUUAUUGUAAGCCUUCCUGGGGUGGCUUAAAUAGCUUACUUCUUUGGCUUGGUCACCUAAUACAACUAUUCUUCAAAAUCUUUCAACUGUCAGUACACUUGAGAAGGUCCCAACUACCAGCCUGUUGUGUAAAGACAAAACCCAAUAGGGUUCCUUGGUUAGAAAAAGAAAUUCACCCCAGUUUAUCCACAGCUUCAAGCAGACACAGGAAGGCUUUAUGUAACAUGUCACCUGCAUGAAAUGUCAUUCCUUUAAGGAAUUUGCUGACAUUAAGAGGAAACUCUAAAAGAUGACCUUAAUCAGGCACUGUGAGUUCUGGGACCCCUCCAGUUGUCUUCUGGGCCAAACUGAGUGGAGGACCAGGAAUUCCAAUUUCAGAGAACUAAGCUUGACUCUUGGUAUGGGGAUUCCAGAGACUUUUUCAGAUGGCUACGUUCACUACCCCUGCCACCACCUCUCUCACUUUUCAAAGUUGUUGGUGCUAGUUUCAGGGUAGUGGUUGUGGCUAGAAAUCCUGAAUUAGACUUGUCUCAACUGAUCAGAUGCCACAAGAACUGGUGGGAAUGGGAAGAAGUGUGGUCCUUGGAUGGAUGGAAAGAAUAGACUUUGAGUGAAGAGGUUUAGUUACAUGCAGAAUAGAAAAUUCUACUAUUGAUUGAUUGGUGUUACACGCUGGGACAUUUCUGAUAGCAAGGCAAUAACAUUGCCUAGUAACCACUUGAGUUUCCCUAAGAAAUCUGGAACUGAAAUGAUUAUAUCUCUUCAUCAAUAAUUGCAUAUUUUAUUGCCAUGGAUAAAUAUAAUUACUGUGACAUAAGUUAAAGAUCUGAAAUUGUAGCCUGUCAUUUAAAGUCAUUCAAAAUAUGCCCCCCAUAAACUAUGUAGCAUAUUAUCACACCAUUCCUACUUACAUAGAUCCCAUACCCUAGCCAAACUGGAGUAUUAUUCCCUCCUCAAACAUGCCACUAACUUUCCCAUAGCCAUGCUCUAUCUUCUCCACCUCCAACACCUGUUCUCUACAUGCCAGUUCGCCAAAAUCCUUCCAGUUCCUCAAAGCCCAGCUCAGAUGCCACCUUCUCUAAGGAGUCUCUUCUGAUUGCCCCUACUGAAUGUGAUUGCCCCUACUGAAUGUGAUUGCCCCUACUGAAUGUGAUUGCCCCUAAGUGAAUGUGACAUUAGUCUCUUGUGAUGUCUCUCUCCAAUUACACUUCAUACGUGGCACUGAUUCCAUUAUGUCACUGAGCUCAUGUGGUCCUCUGUUCUUGAUGUUCUUCAAUACCUCCUACUAGACUGUAAAACUCCUUGAAAGCAGGGAUUCUUGUAUAUGUUUUUAAAUCUCCCAUUGUGCCUAGGUGCUCAAUAAUGUUGGCUGAAUUAUUGAAUUGAUUAUCAAGCUGUGAUAUGGUCUUUAUCCUCAGGGUGCUGUCCCUUGUACAUGAAGAUAAUGUUAUUGAUUCAUUGUCAUGAAGACUUUAGGGUGUAAUUUUUGUUUUAUUAGUGGAUUUAGUUUUGUGCUAAUGAUAAUGAUGCUGAUGAUGAUAAUAAUAAUACCAACAAUAAGUAAAAGUGACUUUCAACUGGGA